GCAACUACCAGAUGUACUAAGUCAGAUGCAGCUUUUGUAGUCAGCUUGUGUUUGAGCACAAACAACAUCAUUAGCAGUGCACUUGAUCCAACUGUCAUCUGGCACUCAGAAUAAAUGCUCUCAUUAAUUCGUUUGCCUCGGAGUCCAUGCUGUCUGUUUCAAAAUUCAAAAAAUUCAUGUCACUAGCAUGAAUGUUGUUUUCAUUAUCAUCUUCAUCUGCUUCUUCAUCAUUGUGGUCUUGAUCAUCAUCUUCUUGAUCUACUAAAAACAAACCUGGUUUAUGCAUUUUCAAGCAUCAGACUGGUAAUAUGUACUUUACAUGUUGCAACUACCUUCAGAGUUAGUUUUCAUAUCAACUUGAUCAGUUGUGUCUGACAAGUCGUCAUCUGAAAUGACUGUGCUCUGAUGAUCAAUCAUAUCUAAUGUGAUAUGGAUUUGGUGCACUCAUUUGUCUGUCUGAAUAUAAGUUGGUUCUUAUCAAUUUUGAACUGUAGGUUACUGCAGUUACCUAAACGUAUGCUGCCUUACAAUUUUACAGAAUGUAGUAUAUAUAUUGAUAUAUUAGAAUAUAUUGAAAACACGAAUUGAAAUUGAAUUUUGUAAAUUUGUUAGGGAAUAAU
This is a long non-coding RNA of Corticium candelabrum, 620 nucleotides long. RefSeq lists it as uncharacterized. NCBI's taxonomy places the organism in Eukaryota, Metazoa, Porifera, Homoscleromorpha, Homosclerophorida, Plakinidae. The transcript is spliced from 3 exons. The record is from RefSeq and is a predicted model, not a curated record.